This is a long non-coding RNA of Cyclopterus lumpus (lumpfish), 493 nucleotides long. RefSeq lists it as uncharacterized. The transcript is spliced from 4 exons. Lineage: Eukaryota; Metazoa; Chordata; Actinopteri; Perciformes; Cyclopteridae. The record is from RefSeq and is a predicted model, not a curated record.
UGUCCGCUCGGUCUUUUCACCGACGUUGCUCCUCACGCGCAUGUCAGGAGGAAGUCAGCUCGUCUGUAUAACGUCAGAAUGCAACAUAACCCACGCGGUUUGAUCCGCAGCACCGACAUGGUCUGUUCGGAUCAAACGCCAUCUGGUGGCCACGUGUGUGAGCCCGGUGGAUGAGUCUGCGGGUCAGUACUUGGUUGCCAAGGCAGUAUAAUGACGUGACGAUGGGUCCAGAGGAGCUCCAGAAAGAGGGCAGCUCCCAUCUGCAUCGAGUCCCGUGUGUAUGAGAUUCCUUGAGGCUUCGGGAGAUGACAUCCGAUGUUGCAGACGCAUUCUUUGUCUGACUCGAUACUUUGCAGGUAAAACACCAGGUGCAGAUGCCUAAUUGGACUGGAACUACUUUCCUCUUCCCAAUGAUGCCCAACGCACAGCAAUGCACUUAAAUGUUUGCCCUAUUAAUUUUCAAGCAGAAUAAAUUUUGCAUCUACAAUAUAAA